Molecule: long non-coding RNA, 1999 nt
Filed under: Fragaria vesca (wild strawberry)
Lineage: Eukaryota; Viridiplantae; Streptophyta; Magnoliopsida; Rosales; Rosaceae
Description: long non-coding RNA (FVES_LNC000582)
Source: RNAcentral
CAUGCCAUCUCCAUUCCUUUCAACAGUCCCCAAAGUUCAGCUUCAAGGACUUGUCCAAUGCCUAACUUGGCAGAGAAACCAUUCAACCAUUCACCUCUAUCAUUCCGAAGGACUCCUCUAGCACAAAUAAUCCCAGUAUUUUUAUGCAAGCUGCCAUCAACAUUAAGUUUAAACCAAUCCUUAGGCGGAAAGUGCCAACAAAGCUCCACUACUCGUCGUGGAGGUUUUGAGUGGUCAACCUUAUUUGCCUCAAAAUAAUCUCUAGUAAACUGGUGAAUAAUUAAGGAAGGCCAACUUGGGAAUUUCAAGUUCUGAUCCAAAAUAAAGCUACACCUCCAUUUCCAUAUAUGCCAAAGCCCCAUAGCAAAAUAGCAACACCAAGGAAUUUCAUAUUGCAUUUUCACAGAAGACUUUAAAUUCACAAGCAACCAGUCAUUGAAAGGAAGAGUGUAUGUGGAAGGGAACUCACUUGGGGAAUGAAGAGCAGACCAAAUCCGCAUUGAAAUAGUGCAAUCUUUGAAGAGAUGGUCCAAGGAUUCAAGAGGGAAGUUGCAUCUUGGACAAUGAGCAUCUAUAGCCAAUCUUUGAAGAGAUGGUCCAAGGAUUCAAGAGGGAAGUUUCAUCUGAUUCUUGUUAAGUGGAGUAGAUGGCGUCGGAUUUGAUUGUAGUCCUUGUUUGUAAUGGCGUAGAUGGUUGGUUUGCUCGUAAAUUCAAUCAAAUUACAAGAAUUUCUGUAGUUUAUUUAUACUGAUAUUGUUUACACAUGUACUGGUCGCAUCGAUCACCUAUGUAUUGUGCAAAACGACCAUCACAGAAUAAGAUCAACAGAUAUUUGUUGAGUCAUCUACUAUAUAUUAUUCUCACUUAACUGAUCCCCAACUUUUGUAGCACCAGGUUAUAUCUUUCGCAGAGAUACAGAAUUAGAGAUAGAGAUAGAGAUAGGUGUUUUUUCAGUUGUUUGCUGCAUCUGCUCUUCUCAUUCUCUCUGUGGUAGAAAUUUUGAUUUAUUGGGUUGGGGUUUUUGACAAUUUGUGACUUUUUUAAUGUUUUGUUGGCAUGCUUUUCCGAUUUCGUUUUUUUAUUUUUGGCUAUUUUGGGAUUUGUAGGAUUUGGUUUGGCUAAUGGCUGCCAUUGUUUUGAGUCAACUAUGAGUUAUUGGCUGUGGUUGCAUGCGCUGAAAGGUAAAGACUUGGUUUGUUCAUCUUCAUUUGUUUUCUGCAUGUUUCAGUUCGAAAAAGCUUUCUUCUUUUUUUUUUGGUCUGAAAAAAAUUGCGAUAUUACAAUUCUAAUUGAUAUUUUCCUUCUUUUUAUCUGAUAAAUGGUGGAAGUCGUGGAACAACUUCAAGUAUGCAUGAUAUGGUCUUUGAGUUAAUAUAUGCAGAGUCAGGCAUUGGUCUCUCCUGCUUCAACAUGCUUAUAUUUCUUUUGUUUUACAUGCAGAGAAGUAGCUGUCUGUCAGAAAAAUUUGUAUUGGUGUAUAGUCAUAUUGCGACCUCUGAUGCUAUUAACAUUGGUGAGCAAAUCUCCACAGAAAAGUUUGCUGCUUUCCUUUCUAUGUAUAUCAACUUGCUGUUCACUUUUAUUAUACAUGGCCUUCACCAUCAUGGUAGAUAAGACUUGAUAUAAUUCAACUAGAUUAUAAUUCCAAACUCUAUGGUGUCUAAGUGACAAGACCAGAAAGCAUAUACUUUAUGCAUACAUACAUGUAUGUUUAUCUUAUACUUUAUGCAUACGUCCUAGAUUGUACUUCAACUGUUAGUGUUAUUGGCUUUCAGUAGCUGUUGCUUAUGUUCUAUUCUCAAAACUUAUGCUUAUGAGAGAUUCAAAGAGAUUAUACACUAAAUAUUGAUUCCACUGUCAGAUUUUUUAAGAUAUCUGCGAGAAUAUCCACUGUCAGAUUUCAACAUCUGUAUCCUUUUUACUUCCAUGCUCAUAGUUCAUAUCUCUUUACUUAUAAAAAUGAAUUAUUUCAAGCAGAUUGCUCAAUUUUGGACUUUAC